UGUGUGGAGGUAAGGAACUACGUCGUGUUCUAUCUCUCGGUAAAUCCUUGCCUCUCACUGU
Molecule: microRNA precursor, 61 nt
Organism: Monodelphis domestica (gray short-tailed opossum)
Lineage: Eukaryota; Metazoa; Chordata; Mammalia; Didelphimorphia; Didelphidae
Product: mdo-mir-7398k-2
Source: Ensembl